ACAUAUCAUAAGCGGAGGAAAAGAAACUAACAAGGAUUCCCCCAGUAACGGCGAGUGAAGCGGGAAGAGCUCAAGCUUAAAAUCUCCAUACUUGUAUGGCGAAUUGUAGUCUAUUGAGGCUGUUGUCAGCAUCGCGAUUGGGGACAAGUCCCUUGGAAAAGGGCAGCAUAGAGGGUGAUACUCCCGUCUCUGCUCCAAUCUGCGGUGUGUACGAUACGCUUUCUUUGAGUCGAGUUGUUUGGGAAUACAGCUCAAAGUAGGUGGUAAAUUCCAUCUAAAGCUAAAUAUUGGUGCGAGACCGAUAGCGAACAAGUACCGUGAGGGAAAGAUGAAAAGAACUUUGAAAAGAGAGUUAAAGAGUACCUGAAACUGUUGAAAGGGAACCGUAUCGUUUCCAGUGUUGUAUCCUAUGCAUAUUUCAUUCGCGGAGUAAUUUGCGGGUGCCCUGUGCAUGGGUGUGACGUCAGGGUCAGUUUGUAUGCUGCGGGAGAUGGUCAGUGAGGAGGUGCGUCACUUCGGUGAAAGUUAUAUCUCGCUGUCUAGUAGCCGUGGUUGAGACUGAGGUGCCUACAACAUGCCUUAAGGUUCCGUGUUGUCUCGUGUUGGUGACUGCUUUGAUAGCUUGCUAUGUCUGUGGUUUAUCAGUGCGAUUGAUGAUGCGGAUAACUUUUGCUGUUCGGGACUCUGGCGAAAUGGAGCGAUACGACC
Molecule: ribosomal RNA, 708 nt
Filed under: Protoachlya polysporus
Lineage: Eukaryota; Oomycota; Saprolegniomycetes; Saprolegniales; Saprolegniaceae
Description: eukaryotic LSU rRNA
Rfam family: Eukaryotic large subunit ribosomal RNA
Source: RNAcentral